GUGUUGACAAUAUAGAAAAUUAUAUUGGGAAGUUGUCAUUUCUACAGUAAAAACAGCUUUUUUUUCAAGUAGUACGAAUUGUGACUUCGAUUUAUCUGUGGAACUAUUUGAACAGAAGGUAAAGCAGUAAUUUUGUUGUAUUUAGAAAGCAAACAGAGUCAUAUUUUUAAAAAUAUAGCGCACUGAAUAUAAAUUUGAGCAUCAUUAAAAUGUGUUCGCUAUGAUGCCAUUUUGUCUCCGGUAUAUACGGAGUUCUGCUUUUAUACUUGUGGAUAUUCGAAUUUAUUUGGCUCAAAAACACCAUUACUUCAAUAUCCCUUUCUUGUUUUUCCUUGGAUAGGUUUUAACAAGAUAGAACUCUAGAUCCCUUGGGUCCAAAGACGCUAGAUUAUAAACUGAUCCUGAUGUGACUUGAUACUACAAAUAGAAUAUGUCUUAUGAUUUUAUAAUACUACAAAUAAAAUGUCUUUUAAGUACAAACUUCAAUGAAUUGAUAAAGUGUAAGGAUAGUGUUUAAAGUUGCUUCAUGUGUAGAAGCUGAAUUACUUUAGUUUAUACACUGUAUAUUGUCGAGAUCACAUGUUGAUAUGACUUAAUACCAGCAACUUGCAAUAAGUGGUCUGUUCUGCUUGUUUAUAAUACUUUAGAGUUUGGACAUUAGAACAUUGUAAUUGCCUGACAGAGACUGUUAGGGCCUGUUUGUAUGGAAGCCGGGCUGGCCCGCUUAGCAAGACAGCCCGGUAAUUUUGUUGUUUUGACAGUUGUUAAAAAUUUCAUCCCGGCAACCGGGCUAGCCUGCUUAUGAUUGUUUAUGUGGAGAAAUUUCCAUCCUGGUCUUGGCAACCGGGCCUGCCCGCUUGUCCAUAGAAAUGAUAAUUUGUACUAUAAAAAUAACUAGACAGCGAGAUCUCACUUACCGGGCUGUCUCACUUAGCGGGCCAGCCAGUUUCGAUAUAAACAGGCCCUUACACAACUGCCAAAAGCUGCAAGUUUCUUUAAAGCAAUAUCAUCUAUAUCACAGAAUACAGUUUCUGUAGUGACAUACUUCGUGUUUUUUCUGUCUUUAAAGUGUCUUAUGUUUGUAAUAUUUUUGUACAAUACCUUUUUGAAAUUGUUGAUACUGGUCUCAUUGUAACUCAGUUAUUCCUUCUCAAGAAAAAUAAAAAACAAAGCUGUG
Molecule: long non-coding RNA, 1177 nt
Filed under: Paramuricea clavata
Lineage: Eukaryota; Metazoa; Cnidaria; Anthozoa; Malacalcyonacea; Plexauridae
Source: RNAcentral